RNAcentral lists this ribosomal RNA (2305 nucleotides) under Triticum aestivum (bread wheat). RNAcentral describes it as "partial small subunit ribosomal RNA". The record is from RNAcentral. Lineage: Eukaryota; Viridiplantae; Streptophyta; Magnoliopsida; Poales; Poaceae.
UGACCCACGGAUACUAUGAUUGCAGAAUGGCUUAGGGACGAUAGCGCCCGGAGUUUAGGCAGUUACCGCAGGUGCGGGAGGGAGGAGUGGGAGAAGGAGCGGGAACACGACGGGGAGUAGGGAGAGCGGCAGCGUCGAGGCCUCUUCGUGGAGCACUGGGUGGAGGGCCCGAAGCUGCCGCGGGAGGGCAGGUUUGUGAUGCGGCCCAUGUAUUCGCACCUGCUCUCGUUACCGUCCUCCUACAAGAUGAUGGACCACGACAGCCUCGCACUGGGCCGGCGGCUGGGGCAGCACGAGACCGAGUUGCCGCCGGGGCCGACGAGGUCGAAGCUGCCUAAGCAGAUGCUCUUGCCAGGGAAGUUGAAACUCGCGCCUUCGUGAGGGCCUCCCGACGGGUUCGACGUGGAGUUAGGGAUAUCAACCAGUUUCCAAAGUUCGUACUACAUGGACCUGAGGGGACGGCCACAACCCUACAGUAUGAGUAACUUGUUUAGCCUAAUGUGUUGUCCACUGGACUUUUGGCGUCGGCUACCCGUAUGGAAGGAAAACUUCACCAAGCUCAAUAUGGGUCUCAAAGUCAGCUUGGGUAAGAUGUAAAGGCCUCUCAGUAUACGUCCCUAUAUGUAAGGAUGUGAUCGACUACUUCAACAGUUUCCCCGUGUCUUCCGAGACUUCGGUUCUUAGUUAAACUUCCCGAUAGAUUAACCAUUACCUCAUUGGCUGAAUCUGAUGCUAAAUUUGAGAAAACACGGCAAACGUGUACCCUACCCAGAGUAUAGUUGGCUGGACAAACUCCUACAGUCACGACGAACGGUACCGUGUAAGACCCCUUUUCAUUUACUACACACGGUUCUUUUCUAUCUAUCUCAGGCAACCCUUGACUUUCUAGACUUAUUCAUGUUGUAAGAACGUGGUACGAUGGUGGUGGGACUUCAGGUUCUCUGUCGCAAGCACUUGUCGUCGAACGGUAGUUCGAAGUCUUUAGAUCCACUUUGUCUCUCCGGAAAGGGACACUCCUUCUCCUACCACCCCGAAAGUACCGGAGAGCCAGAAGGGCACUCGUCGCCUGUACAGUGCAACACCGGUCUCGAACCGCCAUCUAGAGAUGGUACGUGCUCACUACUUGAACGAUGAUAUACCGACCUACUACUACAUUCUCGACGGUAAGUGCGGUUUGGCUUUUCGAAUUAACCUAGUACCCUCAACUUAUGACGUUCUUAUCUGAUGUGAGUACUAUGUCCGUCGUACCACCUCAUAGUGUUUUUUAAGUGUCGGUACCCUAUAGCGCAUGAAUAAAUGUCACCUCUAGUACUAGAUACAUAGGGAAAGUGACCUUGCCUCCGUACCCAGUCUAGUAAUCCGAUGGCUCAACAGCUAAGUACCGCUGGUACCGUGAAACCCCCCGUUCAACGACCUAUAUGUGUUCCGAUACUAGUGUUAGAGUGGAAGGAGUGGUAUUUCCGUACAUUCGUUCGAAAUUUCAGGUCGUCCUCUUAGAUCGUAUAAUCUAACAGCAGAAGGUAGAAGUCACUGAACGGGCUACGGUGCAGACUUGGUUUGAAUUUAAGCUGUUCUCAAGUAGUAUACCGACUCCCAAAAACUGAUCAAUUGCUACAAAGUCCCCAGACCGGUGUGACAAGGACUCAUGUUCGGGUUUCUUAGCGACCGUAAGAUGUGGGUGACCGACGAACCUCUUUUCUAGAUUUAACUAGAUUUACUUUGUUAGUUUAAAACAUCUAUACAUAGAAUAAUAAAAAGGAUCGACAAAAAUAACAUCUAAAACUAUUUCUGAGAUUGACUUGGACAAAAGUCACACUUUGGGUUAUUUGUUAGGUUCCGAGACUAUUUAAAGGCGGAUGUAAGAGAACGACUCGCAAUCUUUGCUUGACAGAAUUGUGUUGGCAUAAAGAUGUGGGUGUUUGUGGUCUUUUCGUCUACUUUAUUUGUAUUUUAACCUGUAAUUGCAAUGUGUUCGCUGUACUCUUGAGUACUUGGUUAGUUGAACUUGAACAGGUUACUGUCUUCGGACUUCUAAGUAGGUUGUGUGGUACAUCAAGUGUCUUUCAAAAGCGACGGAUCAUCCUCAUUCCAUGAGGUAUUUCUUCAUAGUACUACUAGAUCUCUUUAUGAUGAUGGAGGCAAGACUUAAUUUUCUACAAAACCUAUAAAGUCAUACCUGAUGUAUGCCUGGUUUUAUUCACUUGUUUGUGUGAUCUUGUGUAGAUGUAUGUAGAUUAAGUCUCUUUUUUGUACGAUAUUAAACCUUGCCUCCCUCAUCGUUUGUUCCGAAGACGGUGUUGUUUGG